Molecule: ribosomal RNA, 468 nt
Filed under: uncultured bacterium
Lineage: Bacteria
Description: partial 16S ribosomal RNA
Rfam family: Bacterial small subunit ribosomal RNA
Source: RNAcentral
GACGAACGCUGGCGGCGUGCUUAACACAUGCAAGUCGAACGGAAAGGCCCUGCUUUUGUGGGGUGCUCGAGUGGCGAACGGGUGCGUAACACGUGAGUAACCUGCCCUUGACUUUGGGAUAACUUCAGGAAACUGGGGCUAAUACCGGAUAGGAGCUCCUGCUGCAUGGUGGGGGUUGGAAAGUUUCGGCGGUUGGGGAUGGACUCGCGGCUUAUCAGCUUGUUGGUGGGGUAGUGGCUUACCAAGGCUUUGACGGGUAGCCGGCCUGAGAGGGUGACCGGGCACAUUGGGACUGAGAUACGGACCAGACUCCUACGGGAGGCAGCAGUGGGGAAUAUUGCACAAUGGGCGGAAGUCUGAUGCAGCAACGCCGCGUGCGGGAUGACGGCCUUCGGGUUGUAAACCGCUUUCGCCUGUGACGAAGCGUGAGUGACGGUAAUGGGUAAAGAAGCACCGGCUAACUACGUG